Molecule: non-coding RNA, 274 nt
Organism: Pelobates cultripes (western spadefoot toad)
Lineage: Eukaryota; Metazoa; Chordata; Amphibia; Anura; Pelobatidae
Source: the annotation of a GenBank genome assembly
AGUGGCUCUAGUAUGGUGACAGGGGCUGUAUAGGGUUGACAUUGGAUGUAUUGGUGACAGGGGCAAUUGUGGGAGGAUAGGGACUAUUGUGUGUAUAGAAACAUAGACUGUGACUGCAGAUAAGAACCAUUUGGCCCAUCUAGUCUGCCCAAUCUGUAUAGUGGAGUGACAGGGGCGGUAGUGAGAGAAUAUGUGCUGUAGUGGGUGGAUAUGGACUAUUGUUGGGUGGAUAGUGGGUAUAGUUAGGUGACAAGGACAUUAGUGGGAAUAUAGG